RNAcentral lists this ribosomal RNA (406 nucleotides) under uncultured bacterium. RNAcentral's name for it is "partial 16S ribosomal RNA". It matches the Rfam family "Bacterial small subunit ribosomal RNA", at positions 30 to 527 of the family's 1533-position model. The record is from RNAcentral.
AUUGAACGCUGGCGGCAGGCUUAACACAUGCAAGUCGAGCGAGCGGCGGACGGGUGAGUAAUGUCUGGGAAACUGCCUGAUGGAGGGGGAUAACUACUGGAAACGGUAGCUAAUACCGCAUACCAUCAAAUGUGCCCAGAUGGGAUUAGCUAGUAGGUGGGGUAAUGGCUCACCAAGGCGACGAUCCCUAGCUGGUAGGAGAGGAUGACCAGCCACACUGGAGCUGAGACACGGUCCAGACUCCUACGUGAGGUAGCAGUGGGAAAGUUUGCACAAUGGGCGCAAGCCUGAUGCAGCCAUGCCGGUUGUGUGGAGAAGGCCUUCGGGGUGGAAAGCACUUUCAGCGAGGAGGCGUUACUCGCAGAAGAAGCACCGGCUAACUCCGUGCCAGCAGCCGCGGUAAUUG